This 536-nucleotide ribosomal RNA is filed under the name uncultured bacterium. RNAcentral's name for it is "bacterial SSU rRNA". It matches the Rfam family "Bacterial small subunit ribosomal RNA", at positions 28 to 526 of the family's 1533-position model. The record is from RNAcentral.
GAUAAACGCUGGCGGCGCACAUAAGACAUGCAAGUCGAACGAAAGUCGUUUUAAUUUUUUUGGAACUGGAUUAUGAUUUAUCUUAAGAAGGUGAAGGAGAUUUUAGAACAUAUGGCUUUAGUGGCGGACUGGUGAGUAACACGUAAGCAACCUGCCUAUCAGAGGGGAAUAACAGUGAGAAAUCAUUGCUAAUACCGCAUAGUUUGCUUUUAUCGCAUGGUAAAAGUAAUAAAGGAGUAAUCCGCUGAUAGAUGGGCUUGCGUCUGAUUAGCUAGUUGGUGGGGUAAUGGCCUACCAAGGCGACGAUCAGUAGCCGGACUGAGAGGUUGAACGGCCACAUUGGGACUGAGAUACGGCCCAGACUCCUACGGGAGGCAGCAGUCGGGAAUAUUGCGCAAUGGAGGAAACUCUGACGCAGUGACGCCGCGUAUAGGAAGAAGGUUUUAGGAUUGUAAACUAUUUUAGUCAGGGAAGAAAAAAGACGGUACCUGAAGAAUAAGCUCCGGCUAACUACGUGCCAGCAGCCGCAGUAACAC